Molecule: unclassified non-coding RNA, 407 nt
Filed under: soil metagenome
Description: partial contains 5.8S ribosomal RNA, internal transcribed spacer 2, and large subunit ribosomal RNA
Rfam family: 5.8S ribosomal RNA (bases 2-121)
Source: RNAcentral
GGAUGAAGAACGCAGCGAAAUGCGAUACGUAGUGUGAAUUGCAGAAUUCCGUGAACCAUCGAAUCUUUGAACGCAAAUUGCGCUCGAGGCCUCGGCCAAGAGCAUGUCUGCCUCAGCGUCGGCUACUACCCUCAACUAAGUUUCCUAUACACAUAGGGGAUGCCGGUUGGAUCUGGCCGUCCGGUUUGCCUUUUAGGUUGCCGGUCAGCUGAAAUACAUUCACGCUCUGGGGGCUGCUUUCCUUCCGAGGAGAGGCGAGUUCCGAUUUAGUAGGUGACCUUUGCCGGUUGCAUGCCUUCGUUGCCCGCUAAGCUUUCCAGUAUGCGUUGUGCAGGACGCCUUUUGGCUUUCGACCUGAGGUCAGGCAAGAACACCCGCUGAACUUAAGCAUAUCAAUAAGCGGAGGA